This 74-nucleotide transfer RNA is filed under the name Rhodobium orientis. It matches the Rfam family "tRNA". From Rfam's summary of the family: Transfer RNA (tRNA) molecules are approximately 80 nucleotides in length. Their secondary structure includes four short double-helical elements and three loops (D, anti-codon, and T loops). Further hydrogen bonds mediate the characteristic L-shaped molecular structure. tRNAs have two regions of fundamental functional importance: the anti-codon, which is responsible for specific mRNA codon recognition, and the 3' end, to which the tRNAs corresponding amino acid is attached (by aminoacyl-tRNA synthetases). tRNAs cope with the degeneracy of the genetic code in two manners: having more than one tRNA (with a specific anti-codon) for a particular amino acid; and 'wobble' base-pairing, i.e. permitting non-standard base-pairing at the 3rd anti-codon position. The record is from Rfam by way of RNAcentral. Lineage: Bacteria; Pseudomonadati; Pseudomonadota; Alphaproteobacteria; Hyphomicrobiales; Rhodobiaceae. RNAcentral also lists the same sequence under 4 other names.
GGCGGGGUAGCUCAGUUGGUUAGAGCAGCGGAAUCAUAAUCCGCGUGUCGGGGGUUCGAGUCCCUCCCCCGCUA